CUGGCUCAGAUUGAACGCUGGCGGCGUAGCUUAACACAUGCAAGUCGAACGCGAAAGGGACUUCGGUCCUGAGUAAAGUGGCGCACGGGUGAGUAACGCGUGGAUAAUCUGCCCUUAUGAUCGGGAUAACAGUUGGAAACGGCUGCUAAUACCGGAUACGCUCGAAAAUGAACUUUUUUGAGGAAAGAUGGCCUCUGCUUGCAUGCUAUCACGUAAGGAUGAGUCCGCGUCCCAUUAGCUUGUUGGCGGGUAACGGCCCACCAAGGCAACGAUGGGUAGCCGAUUUGAGAGGAUGAUCGGCCACACUGGAACUGAAACACGGUCCAGACUCCUACGGGAGGCAGCAGUGGGGAAUAUUGCGCAAUGGGCGAAAGCCUGACGCAGCGACGCCGCGUGAGGGAUGAAGGUUUUCGGAUCGUAAACCUCUGUCAGAAGGGAAGAAACUACGUUGUGCUAAUCAGCAGCGUACUGACGGUACCUUCAAAGGAAGCACCGGCUAACUCCGUGCCAGCCGCCGC
Molecule: ribosomal RNA, 518 nt
Filed under: uncultured bacterium
Lineage: Bacteria
Description: bacterial SSU rRNA
Rfam family: Bacterial small subunit ribosomal RNA
Source: RNAcentral